Molecule: ribosomal RNA, 495 nt
Filed under: Triticum aestivum (bread wheat)
Lineage: Eukaryota; Viridiplantae; Streptophyta; Magnoliopsida; Poales; Poaceae
Description: partial small subunit ribosomal RNA
Source: RNAcentral
AUGCUCGAAGAAUUCUGCCAAAACUUUGAAGAGGAGACUAGUCGAGUGGAGACUGGCUUGGAUCCUAUCAAUUCUCCGGUGACGGAUGAAACCGCUAUGAACGUGCUUCGCCUCGAGUCUCGCAUUGCUGCAGUGGUCGACUACCUUGCAAGACUGAAGGCCGCAACAUCGCGCAUCGACACAUCGCUCUGGCCAGAAGAAACGCUUCAGAACGACCUUCAGUCGCUGAUGACUCGACUGAACGAAGUUCCGAGUCGAGUGCAAGAAUGGAAGAAGUCUUCUGCCAGGUGCGGUGCUGACGUUGCUCUGUCCUUGGUCCACGUCCACUGCAAGGAAGCGAGAGAAGACAAGCUGGUGUCUCUCAAGGUGGCCAACACUAGGAAGCAUGACUUCCGUUCUUUCAUGGAGACCUUCAUCGCGGCUGCCACUCGGAUCGCAGAUGGGAUUGACCUAGACGAGUUCAUUGCGCCUUCCAGCCCUCUACAGGAGGGGUAA